Cebus imitator (Panamanian white-faced capuchin) is the source of this 441-nucleotide long non-coding RNA. RefSeq lists it as uncharacterized. The record is from RefSeq and is a predicted model, not a curated record. Lineage: Eukaryota; Metazoa; Chordata; Mammalia; Primates; Cebidae. The transcript is spliced from 2 exons.
GGCAAUCCCAGCGCAGACACGUGGGUUGGAGCAGCCUAGCGUUUCUGGGCAAUUGCUCCCGAGAUCCAACAGGCAGCAACGGUCCCAAGGGAGCCCCUCUGCUGCUCCGGAAGAUGCAAAAUGGAAAAGUCCAUCUGGGGACGUGCCUCCUUCCCCAGGCAGAGAGGUUACCUGUGUCUCCAGAAAAACAGCGGAUUUCUGGCGAGAGCCACAGAGAUGGGAAAAGAGGGCUCUGUUGCUAAACCUGACAAUGACCUGAAAUAUUCCCUGAUCUUCAGUCUUGGAAAUUUUUAAAACUCCAAAUUUUCCAAAAAUUUCAAAACACUUAUAUGGAUAAUUUCUUCCUUCCCCCUGGCCUAUUUGAGGACCUUCAUCGUUCACCAAACCGCGCCAGUGUAACGUACCUUGUUCAGCUCUUGGUCAUAAAGUCGUCCUCAGCCU